AGGCCAGGGCGGAAUAGGGUCAAGGAUGCGAGGUUCUGGUCCUUGCGACAGCGGUUCGAAUCCGCUCGGGGCUA
RNAcentral lists this transfer RNA (74 nucleotides) under Microcaldota archaeon. RNAcentral describes it as "tRNA-Gln". Lineage: Archaea; Nanobdellati; Microcaldota. The record is from RNAcentral.